This 465-nucleotide ribosomal RNA is filed under the name uncultured bacterium. RNAcentral describes it as "partial 16S ribosomal RNA". It matches the Rfam family "Bacterial small subunit ribosomal RNA", at positions 339 to 795 of the family's 1533-position model. The record is from RNAcentral.
CUACGGGUUGCUGCAGUGGGGAAUAUUGGACAAUGGGGGAAACCCUGAUCCAGCAAUGCCGCGUGUGUGAAGAAGGCCUGCGGGUUGUAAAGCACUUUCGGUUGGGAGGACUGCUUCUAGCACUAAUAUUGUUGGAAGUUGACGUUACCUUCAGAAGAAGCACCGGGUAACUCCGUGCCAGCAGCCGCGGUAAUACGGAGGGUGCAGGCGUUAAUCGGAAUUACUGGGCGUAAAGCGCGCGUAGGCGGCUAGAUCAGUCGGGUGUGAAAGCCCCGGGCUUAACCUGGGAACUGCAUCCGAUACUGUCUAGCUUGAGUACAGGAGAGGAGAGUGGAAUUCCACAUGUAGCGGUGAAAUGCGUAGAUAUGUGGAGGAACACCAAUGGCGAAGGCAGCUCUCUGGCCUGAUACUGACGCUGAGGUGCGAAAGCGUGGGGAGCAAACAGGAUUAGAUACCCCAGUAGUC